This 782-nucleotide ribosomal RNA is filed under the name uncultured bacterium. Its description in RNAcentral is "bacterial SSU rRNA". It matches the Rfam family "Bacterial small subunit ribosomal RNA", at positions 8 to 796 of the family's 1533-position model. The record is from RNAcentral.
AGAGUUUGAUCAUGGCUCAGAUUGAACGCUGGCGGCGUNNCUAACACAUGCAAGUCGAGCGGCAGCGCGGGAGCAAUCCUGGCGGCGAGCGGCGGACGGGUGAGCAAUAUUUGGGAUCUGCCUAUUAGUGGGGGACAACCCGGGGAAACUCGGGCUAAUACCGCAUACGCACUACGGUGGAAAGCCGGGGACCGCAAGCCUGGCGCUAAUAGAUGAGCCCUCGGAUUAGCUAGUUGGUGAGGUAAUGGCUCACCAAGGCUACGAUCGUAGCUGGUCUGAGAGGACGCCAGCCACACCGGAACUGAGACACGGUCCGGACUCCUACGGGAGGCAGCAGUGGGGAAUAUUGGACAAUGGGCGAAAGCCUGAUCCAGCGACGCCGCGUGGGUGAAGAAGGCCUGCGGGUUGUAAAGCCCUUUCGGUGGGGAAGAAAAGCCUCGACUUAAUACGUUGGGGUCUUGACGUAACCCAAGAAAGAAGCACCGGCUAACUCUGUGCCAGCAGCCGCGGUAAUACAGAGGGUGCGAGCGUUAAUCGGAAUUACUGGGCGUAAAGCGCGCGUAGGCGGCUUUGCAAGUCGAGUGUGAAAUCCCCAGGCUUAACCUGGGAACUGCUCUCGAGACUGCAUAGCUAGAGUAUGGGAGAGGGAAGUGGAAUUUCAGGUAGCGGUGAAAUGCGUAGAUUCGAAGGAACAUCAGUGGCGAAAGCGACUUCCUGGACCAAUACUGACGCUCAUGUGCGAAAGCGUGGGGAGCAAACAGGAUUAGAUACCCUAGUAGUCC